GAUAUAUUCCUCGGGAAGCAGCAGUGAGGAAUUUUUCACAAUGGACGAAAGUCUGAUGGAGCAAUACCACGUGAACGAUGAAGGUCUUCUGAUUGUAAAGUUCUUUUAUUUAGGAAAAAAAGCGCGCUAGGAAAUGAGCGCGGCCUUGAUGGUACUAAUUGAAUAAGUGACAGCUAACUAUGUGCCAGCAGCUGCGGU
Molecule: ribosomal RNA, 198 nt
Filed under: uncultured Mycoplasma sp.
Lineage: Bacteria; Bacillati; Mycoplasmatota; Mollicutes; Mycoplasmatales; Mycoplasmataceae
Description: partial 16S ribosomal RNA
Rfam family: Bacterial small subunit ribosomal RNA
Source: RNAcentral